CAGCCCCUCGAGUGGUGGGGAUGAUUAUUUGGCCUAAAGCGUCCGUAGCCGGCCGAGUAAGUCCCCCGUUAAAUCCAGCGUCUCAAGCGUUGGACUGCGGGAAAUACUGCCUGGCUAGAGAGUGGGAGAGGUCAGCGGUAUUCUGGGGGUAGGGGCGAAAUCCUUUGAUCCCCGGAGGACCACCAGUGGCGAAGGCUGCUGACUAGAACACGUCUGACGGUCAGGGACGAAAGCUGGGGUAGCGAACCGGAUUAGAGACCCGAGUAGUCC
This 270-nucleotide ribosomal RNA is filed under the name uncultured archaeon. RNAcentral describes it as "partial 16S ribosomal RNA". It matches the Rfam family "Archaeal small subunit ribosomal RNA", at positions 477 to 747 of the family's 1478-position model. The record is from RNAcentral.